This 253-nucleotide ribosomal RNA is filed under the name uncultured bacterium. RNAcentral's name for it is "partial 16S ribosomal RNA". It matches the Rfam family "Bacterial small subunit ribosomal RNA", at positions 524 to 776 of the family's 1533-position model. The record is from RNAcentral.
UACGGAGGGUGCAAGCAUUGAUCGGAAUUAUUGGGCGUAAAGGGCGCGUAGGCGGAUUGGUAAGUCAGAUGUGAAAUUCCACGGCUCAACUGUGGAGCUGCAUUUGAAACUGCUGAACUAGAGCGUAGCUAGGGAAAACGGAAUUCCACGUGUAGCGGUGAAAUGCGUAGAUAUGUGGAAGAACACCAGUGGUGAAGACGGUUUUCUGGGCUAUUGCUGACGCUGAGGCGCGAAAGCUAGGGGAGCAAACAGG